Molecule: long non-coding RNA, 649 nt
Filed under: Citrus sinensis (sweet orange)
Lineage: Eukaryota; Viridiplantae; Streptophyta; Magnoliopsida; Sapindales; Rutaceae
Description: long non-coding RNA (CSIN_LNC004017)
Source: RNAcentral
GUAAAGCCACUAGGUUCAUAAAUUUCGAGAGCAGAAGAUGGAUCUCUUUUAGACUUCCCGGAAAUUGAAGCGCCACUAGGUUCAUAAAUUUUGAGAGCAGAAGAUGGAUCUCUUUGAGACUUCUUGGAAAUUGAAGAGCCACUAGGUUCAUUAAUUUCGAGAGCAGAAGAUGGAUCUCUUUGAGACUUCCCGGAAAUUGAAGAGCCACUAGGUUCAUCCAUUUUGAGACCAAAAGAUGGAUCUCUUUGAGACUUCUCGGAAAAUGAAGAGCCACUAGGUUCAUAAAUUUCGAGAGCAGAAGACGGAUCUCUUUGAGACUUCGCGGAAAUUGAAGAGCCACUAGGUUCAUCAAUUUCGAGAGCAGAAGAUGGAUCUCUCUGAGACUUCCCAGAAAUUGAAGAGCCACUAGGUUCAUCAAUUUCAAGAGCAGAAGAUGAAUCUCUUUGAAACUUCCUGGAAAUUGAAGAGCCACUAGGUUCAUAAAUUUCGAGAGCAGAAGAUGAAUCUCUUUGAGACUUCCCGGAAAUUGAAGAGCCACUAGGUUCAUAAAUUUCGAAAGCAGAAUAUGGAUCUCUUGUAACCACUUUCGCCACACUGAACAAAACGCAAGUAGUUCAAAGAUCAGUUCUUAAAAUAAAUAAAGCCUAUU